Molecule: long non-coding RNA, 403 nt
Organism: Solea solea (common sole)
Lineage: Eukaryota; Metazoa; Chordata; Actinopteri; Pleuronectiformes; Soleidae
Exons: 3
Source: RefSeq, a predicted model, not a curated record
ACGCCCCUUUACUCAACGAAACGCCCCUUCACACUACACGACACUCUGAUUGGCUCUCAAGAGACUGCGUCUGAAACGUGAUGAAGUUUACGUUGACCGAGUAUGAAGAGAGAACCCGAAAAAGUAACACGGGAAAAACACGGGAAAAUGACGGAGGAAAAGAGCAACACUACGUUCAGUGAAGGAGCAGACCCUGAGCUGAGAAGAUGCGACUCGGACACUUAUCAGUGUCUGAUCUGCACAAAAAAGGGGAGCUAUGCAAAGCUUGUGUCUCAUCUGCAGGGACACCAAAGGUCAAUGGUGGAGUACGGUGGAAAGGGCCCAACAAGCCCAACAGAAGCGACGCGAGGCAUGUUGUCUGUUAACCAGUGUAAUCACAGAGGAUCAGGGCAUGCUGCAACAC